Molecule: ribosomal RNA, 490 nt
Filed under: uncultured bacterium
Lineage: Bacteria
Description: partial 16S ribosomal RNA
Rfam family: Bacterial small subunit ribosomal RNA
Source: RNAcentral
AUUGAACGCUGGCGGCAGGCCUAACACAUGCAAGUCGAACGGUAACAGGAAGAAGCUUGCUUCUUUGCUGACGAGUGGCGGACGGGUGAGUCAUGUCUGGGAAACUGCCUGAUGGAGGGGGAUAACUACUGGAAACGGUAGCUAAUACCGCAUAACGUCUCAAGACCAAAGAGGGGGACCUUCGGGCCUCUUGCCAUCGGAUGUGCCCAGGUGGGAUGCGAUAGUAGGUGGGGUAACGGUUCACCUAGGCGACGAUCCCUAGAUGGACUGAGAGGAUGACCAGCCACCCUGGAACGGAGACACGGUCCAGAGUCCUACGGGAGGCAGCAGUGGGGAAUAUUGCACAAUGGGCGCAAGCCUGAUGCAGCGAUGCCGAGUGUAUGAAGAAGGCCUUCGGGUUGUAAAGUACUUUCAGCGGGGAGGAAGGGAGUAAAGUUGAUACCUUUGCUCAUUGACGUUACCCGCAGAAGAAGCACCGGCUAACUACGUG